CAGUCGCCGCGGUAAUCCGUAGGGUGCAAGCGUUAAUCGGAAUUACUGGGCGUAAAGCGCACGCAGGCGGUUUGUUAAGUCAGAUGUGAAAUCCCCGAGCUUAACUUGGGAACUGCAUUUGAAACUGGCAAGCUAGAGUCUUGUAGAGGGGGGUAGAAUUCCUGGUGUAGCGGUGAAAUGCGUAGAGAUCUGGAGGAAUACCGGUGGCGAAGGCGGCCCCCUGGACAAAGACUGUCGCUCAGGUGCGAAAGCGUGGGGAGCAAACAGGAUUAGAGACCCCUGUAGUCCCUGUCUCUUAUAC
RNAcentral lists this ribosomal RNA (301 nucleotides) under uncultured bacterium. RNAcentral describes it as "partial 16S ribosomal RNA". It matches the Rfam family "Bacterial small subunit ribosomal RNA", at positions 509 to 807 of the family's 1533-position model. The record is from RNAcentral.